GCCCUGAUAGCUCAGCGGAUUAGAGCAACCGCCUUCUAAGCGGUCGGUCGCAGGUUCGAGUCCUGCUCAGGGCG
RNAcentral lists this transfer RNA (74 nucleotides) under Synechococcaceae cyanobacterium RM1_1_27. RNAcentral's name for it is "tRNA-Arg". It matches the Rfam family "tRNA". From Rfam's summary of the family: Transfer RNA (tRNA) molecules are approximately 80 nucleotides in length. Their secondary structure includes four short double-helical elements and three loops (D, anti-codon, and T loops). Lineage: Bacteria; Bacillati; Cyanobacteriota; Cyanophyceae; Synechococcales; Synechococcaceae. The record is from RNAcentral. RNAcentral also lists the same sequence under 1 other name.